GUGAGUCCAUAGAGUAAAGUGAAGGCAAGUUUAUUAAGAAAUUAAAGGAAUAAAAGAAUGCCUACUCCAUAGGCAGAGCAGUGGUAUGGGCUGCUUGAUUAAGUAUAAUAGUUAUUUCUUGAUUAUAUUCUUAUAGUUAUUCCUUGAUUAUAUGCUAAACAAAGGGUGGAUUAUUCAUGAGUUUUCUGGGAAAGGGGUGGGCAAUUUCUGGAACGGUUUUUCCCCUUUUUAGACCAUAUAGGGUAACUUCCUGCUGUUUCCAUGACAUUUGUAAACUGUCAUGGCACUGAUGGGAGUGUCUUUUAGCAUGCUAAUGCAUUAUGAUUACCAUAUAAUAAACGGUGAAGAAGGCCAGAGGUCACUUUUGUCACCAUCUUGGUUUUGGCUGGCUUCUUUACCACAUCCUGUUUGUUGACAAAAAGAGUCAAACUAUAGAAUAUUUGAAGAGGUUUAUUCUGAGCCAAAUAUGAGUGACCAUGGCCCAUAACACAGCCCUCAGGAGGUCCUGAGAACAUGUGCCCAAGGUGGUCAGGGUGCAGUUUGGCUUUAUACAUUUUAGGGAGAAAUGAGACUUCAAUCAAAUACAUUUAAGCAAUACAUUGCUUUGGUCCAGAAAGGUGGGACAACUCAAAGCAGGGGCUUCUAGCUUACAGAUAGAUUUAAAAUUUUUCUGGUUGACAAUUGGCUGAGUUUAUCUAAAGACCUAGGAUCAACAGAAAGGAAUGUUUGGGUUAAAAUAAAGGAUUGUGAAGACCAAAGUUCUUAUUUGCAGAGGAAGCCUUCAGGUAGAAGGCUUCAGAGAGAAUAGGUUGUAAAAUGUUUCUUAUCAGACUUAAAGUCUGUGUUGAUGUUAAUGCCAGGGAUGUAUAAUGAGGCAUGUCCUACCCUCACUUCCCAGGAUAGCCUGAAUCAGUCUUUCAGGUUGAAUUUCAAGAGUGCCCUGGCUGAAGAGGAAGUCCAUUUGGAUGGUUUGGGUGCCUUAGAAUUUUAUUUUUGGUCUAGACGUUUUAUCAGCAAGGUCUUUAUAAAAUGUAUCUUGUGCCAACCUCCUAUCUCAUCCUGUGACUUAGAGUGCCUAACUUCCUAGGAAUGCAGCCCAGUGGGUCUCAGUCUUAUUUUACCCAGCCCCUAUUCAAGAUGGGGUCACUCUGGUUCAAAUGCCUCUAACAAAACCAGAUGGCCUGGGAUGGCACCAGAGCUUCUUAACCCCUGACCAGAUACUGGAGGGAGAUAUGACCCCCAAACCAGCACAGACUGGAACAGAUGACCCCUUGUUACCUUUAGAUCAUUAACAUAUCAUUAUAAUGCUAAAUUUCCCACCCUUAUGUAAAAGGAAAAUAAAUCUCAGGACCCCAAAAUCACUAAGCCAAAGGGAAGACUCAAGUUGGGAACUGCAUCAGGCAAACCUUCCUCCCAUUCUUUUCUACAUACCUCUCUCACAAUUUGCCCACAAGGAAAUUCCUUGUGGACAAAGGACAGAUAGAACUCAAAGUCAUCCCUUUGCUCAUGUAAGACAAGUGCAUAUCUGAUUGCUUCUUUUGCCUUAUUGUUUUCACUAAGCCAGACUAAAGCAUAAGUGACUAUUCCUAUGAAGUGUGUAUUCAGUGAAAGGCUAAUCAAAAACUCAAAAGAAUAUAACCAUUUGUUUCUUAUCUACCUAUGACCUGGAAGCCCCCUCCGUGCUUUGAGUUGUCCCACUUUUCUAGACCAAACCAAUGUACAUCUUACAUGUAUUGAUUGAUGUCUCAUGUCUCCUUAAAACGCAUAAAACCAAGCUGUGCCUCAAUUGCCUUGGGCACAUGUCAUCAGGACCUCCUAAGGAUAUGUCACAGGCACGUCCUUAACCUUGACAAAGUAAACUUUCUAAAUUGACUGAGACUUGUCUCAGAUACUCUUGGUUUACACUUAUAGGAAAAUCACCACCAUUUUCUGAACAUAUGUCACAUGAAGAGGAGAGUUUAUUGUCUACGCCUGUGUCUAGGGUUCCUCCUUGCACAUGUUUGCAUACUUUCCCACCCCAUGGCUAACUCCUUAAAAUUCCCCAGUGUAUUAGUCUGUUCUUAUGCUGCUAAUAAAGACAUACCGGAGACUGGGCAAUUUAUAAAGGAGAGAGGUUUAAUUGACUCACAGUUCCACAUGGCUGGGGAGGCCUCACAAUUUUGGCAGAAGGGCCAAGUGCAGUGACUCACACCUGUAAUCCCAGAACUUUGGGAGGCUGAGACAGGCAGAUCACCGAAGUCAGGAGUUUGAGAUUAGCCUGGCCAACAUGGCGAAACCCCAUCUCUACUAAAAAUUAGCCAGGCGUGGUGGUGCACACCUGUAAUCCCAGCUCCUCAGGAGACUGAGAGAGGAGAAUGGCUUGAACCUGGGAGGCAGAGGUUGCAGUGAGCCAAGAUUGCAUUACUGUACUCCCACCUGGGUGACAGAGUGAGACUCUGUCUCAAAAAAAAAAAAAAAAAAGAAAAAAAGAAAAUCAUCCUGAAGGCAAAGACGAAGCUAAGGCAUGUCUUACUUGGUGGCAGGAAAGAGAGCAAGUGCAGCAGAACUCCUCUUUAUAAAACCAUCGGAUCUCAUGAAACUUAUUCACUAUCACAAGAACAACAUAGGAAAGACCCACCCCCAUAAUUUAAUUACCUCCCACUGGAUCCCUCCCACAACAUGUGGGAAUUAUGGGAGCUACAAUUCAAGAUGAGAUUUGGGUGGGGACACAGCCAAACCAUGUCACCCAGCUUCCCAUGUCUCAGGGAGAAGAUGCUCCUUCUACAUUCCUGGCCAGGAAUAAAAUCUGUUUGUCUUUUUUUCUGAUUGGGUGUUCCUUCUUUGCGACCAAUACAAAGUAGGAAACAAACUCAGUUUACUGGCAACAAGGGGGCUCAAACAACAGGCAGAUUGAUUAUCUACAAAUUGAACAGGCCCCGGAUGUAGUGAAUGCAGGCAAGGUUGGUUCAGUGGCUGUGUAAUGUCACAAGGACUGAGGUUGUGGGGGCCAAGAGAGAACUUUCCCCUUGGCCCUUUAAAGGUUGGCUGGAAAAUCGCUGACAUGAGGCAGAUUGGUUAAUAGGAAAAAAAGGUGUACAAGUGUAUUUAACGUGUAUACACAGGAGCCUUCGAAACGAAGACUCAACUUCCCAAUAAGGUAGAGAAGCUUAUGUGCCAACUUGAGGUUUCAGAAAGAAAGGGGCCUUGGAUUCUGAUAAAACAGGUUAUGGGAACAUGGAGAAGAGGAAGUCUAUUGAUGGGAAUAAAUGAUUAUUCAGGAGAAUGAUUGAAUGGGGAACAGAAAUUAAGUUGUAAAUAGUUCUCUUUGGAAAUUAAGUGAUCCUUGGAGAUAGUCAUCAUCUUGAAAAAGGGUCCAUUCAGGUGGUUACAUUUUGGUCUUACAGGGAGGGGAAGAAAACUGUUCUCCUUGAUAGGUCUGGAUCUUAGGCAGAUAAUGGAACUUCAGUUUCUUUGGAAGAAACGGUGGAAGGUCAGAGAGACCUUGAGUCUUGUUCUUCAGUUCAGCAUGUCGUAUUUUGGGGUACUGGUUUCUGAAAACCAACAGGUUCUUUCCAUCUUUCUGUCCUUCCAUCCUCCAUGUCCCAGCUCUGUCCUCAACCUGUUCCCUUUUUAGGGCUGCUGAUAGAGGUGUAGUGUGGUGGUUGUUAAAAGGAAAACUGUAGAGAAAUUUAACAAAGUUUAAUGGAGCAAAGAAUGAUUCAUGAAUUGGGCAGCCCCCUGAAACAGAAUAGGCUUAGGGCAACUCCAGGGUUGCCAUAUGGUCCAAUACUAUUUAUGGACAAAAAAAGUAAAGUGGCGUAUGGAAGAUGGAAGUGAGGUAAACAGAAACAAUCAGAUUGGUUACAGCUCAGAGUUGGUCUUAUUUGAACGUGGUUUGAACAGUUGGCUGCCUGUGAUCAGCCAAAUCUCAGCUGCUGUGAUUGGUUGAGACUUGGCGACUUGUUGUAAGAGUAGGUUGUGGUGUGUUUACACAUCCAGUUAGGUGACAGUUCACUAUGUAUUAAGAAACCUUUAGUCCCGACUGAAAAUAUCUAAAGAAGAAGCUGUAGACUAAAUUCAAUUUAACAAGACUAAAUCAUGGACUGGAGUUCAAAUCUCAGCUCUCUUGCUUAGAAGUCAUGCCUCAGUCUCCUCAUAUGCAAAGUAGAGGAAAAUGGAGGAAUUUAUCCCACUUGGUUGUGCUAAAAGAUAAACUGGUUUUAUUAAAAUAGUAAAGAGUUUAUUCGAACAGAGAGCAGUUCAUGAAUCAGGCGGCUCCAGAUUGCCAGCAGUCCACAGCUCCAACAAAGGAUCCUGAGGGGAGGAUUUUUAUAAGGUGCACGGAGAGGCAAGACAAAGAAAACAUCUGGCUGGUUUAAGUGCGGCAGUAGCCUAAUUUGAUUCAUUUCAGUGCACAGUUCCUAGUUAGAGUUUACUUGGCAGUUUCUGAUUAAACUUAAGUUUUGUUCUACUUCAACACUGAAUUGGGUUUUGGUUUACUUAUACAGGAACCCAGGGUGCUGGAGUUGCCUCAAUGUAAUGCCCUCCCAAUUAAUUAGCUGUUGCGAUCAUACAAGGAAUAAAUGCUGUCUGCCUUAUUUAUCAUUUUCUUGGCUGAAUCUGACUAUGCUAAUUCCAGACUUCAGACCCACAAUAUACAGUGAAGGAAGAAGAACCAUUCUUUCCAGUGUCUUUGUCUUUCUGUUAGCCUAGAGGGCGCAUGUAGAUUAAUUAGGAAACAUAUCCCCUUCCUUGAACCCCCACGCUGGAUGCUUUCUCACCUGAGGGUGACUUGUGUGCAUUAGACAACAAUGCCCAUUUGCUUUGUGUAAAGACAAAAGUGUUCUUUCUGGGUACCUGCCUCUCCACACUCCUCAUGGGCUGGUGAGCAGAAAUCAUAUGGGUCCACCCUAAAUUUCCUGGGCUGUGUGCUGUUGCUUCAAACCCUAUCUCAAAUGCCACUUAAUUUGCUUACACUGUAUCUUUAAAAUGGAAACUUUCAUCUUCCAUCAUAUCUUAUAAUUAUUUGUUUGUAUUUAAUUCCCCACAUCUGACAGUGAUCUCCACAGUGUCUUUUGCAAAUGUUCUUAAAUGUUUGUUCAUACUACUUAAUCUCUACGGAAUGGUACUGGAUCACUUUAACUUUAGGAGGUGGUGCCUUCUUAGACCUGAUAAAUCAAGUUUAGCUUAAAGCUGCCUCCUUACAUAUUUUAAGUUUGGUCUAAAGGUUUCUCCAUACAUUGUAAACUCUAACCUGACUGGAUGUGUAAAUAGACUGUAACCUACUCUUGUGCCACUCACUGAGCUUUGGUCAAUCACAGGUGCACAACUGUUCAAGUCAUGUUCAAAUAAGACAAACUGAGCUGUAACCAAUGGGCUGUUUUUGUACCUCAUUUUAGUUUUCUGUAAGUCACUUUCCUUCUAUCCAUAAAUCUUCCACCAUGUGGCUGUGCUGGAGUCUCUCUGAGCCUACUCUGGCUUGGAAGACUGCCUGAUUUGCUAAUCAUUCUUUGCUCAAAUUAAACUCUGUUAAAUUUAGUUAGUCCAGGGUUUUUUUUUUGUUUGUUUUUUUAAAAUCAAAUCUUCAGUGACUCUUUAUGGUGGUCAAUUAUGGCCAGGAUGGAUAGGAGACUACCAUGCAGAAAAGUAUGAGAGAGACUUGAAAACCAUGCAGUGAUCUUUAAAACCCUCUGAAUAUGUAUUUUCAAAUGCUGCUUUCAUAAGUCAUUAACCAUAAUUUAUUGAAUGUGUACUAUGUGUAUGGCAUUGUACUAGAUCCUUUAUAAACCAUAUAGAAUUUUUAUAGUAACCUUGAAAAGUAUGUGUUAUUAUAUCCACUGUACAUAUUGGGGGGACUGGAGGCUUAGAAAGUGGAAGUCGAGGCUUGCACACACUUAUUAUGAAAGGCCAGCUGGCAUGAUAGUGGUUCACCCUGAACAGCAGAUGGAACUGAUAACAGGCCCAUUAAAUUAUGGGCCAAAUAGUUUGCAACCUUAAGAAAUCCCUGUGAAAUGUUCAUAGAAUAUUAACUUCUUAUCUUAUCAAAGAAAAUUUUAACCCAUUGAAAUAUAAGAUUUGUGUUAGGGUCUGAAUGGCCAACCAUUUUUUUUUUUCUGUAUGUGUUUGAGAAUAAUGUGUUUUGCAAUUUUUACAUGCAGUAUUUUAUAUAAGCUUAUGGUACAGCUUGUUUAUUGUAUAAUUUAAAACUUCCUUGUCCUUACUAACUUUUGUCUGUUUAUUCUAUUGCUAAAAGUGGUAUAGUAAAUACACUACAAUAAUGCAUUUGUCAAUUUAUCUUUAGUUAUGUCACUUUCUGCUUCAUAUAUUUUGAGACCAUGUUAUUAGGUACAUAAAAUAUAAUAAUUAUAUUUUUUUCUGGCAAACUGAAGCUUAUUAUAAAUGACCCUCUUUGUUGCGAGUAAUGCCUUUUGCAUUUACAACUGAUGGAGACAGGACGCAGCCAAAAGUCCCUGGUGAAACCCCGCCUUCAAGCCUAAAACAGCCUGAAGGAUGAAAAACCAGACUUCUGGUGCCUGAUGAAGCCUGCCCUUUCCUGACUGAUUCUAAAUAAUGCCUACCUGCCAACUGGGAAGGCAGGGUGGAGCCUUCGGAAAUUCAUGACCUUCGCAGGGGAGAGGAGCUUGGCCUCUCCUAUUCCUGUGUGGUGACCUGGGAUUCAAACUGUGAGGCGGAAAACCUGCUAGCAGGAGUCUCGCUUUGCUGAGAGUUAUUUUUCUUUUCCUUUUUAUCCAAUAAAUUCCGUCUUCUCACGCUUCUAUGUGUCUGUGACCCUACUCUUUCCUGGUCGUGUGACAAGAGCCUGGUUUUAGCUGACCUAAGAAGAAAGUUCUGCAACAUUUUUGGUGUCCAGACGUGAGUCUUGAGGAAGGACAAGUACAGACAAUCACCAGGAACUAAGGAACAAGAAGCAUCCAACCCUGCAUCUGUGGGUUUCCUGAGGUGACUCUCAAUUGUCAUAGGGGUGAAGAGUGAGUGAGGAAACCCUUGGAGCACUUGUUUGCUUCACAGACAUCCUGACCUCCUUUCAACUGUAAAGACUUAGUCAGAGGACGGCGGCUCCCUCAGCCUCAUUCUGCAGUUCCAAUGACACUUUUUACAAAGGCUCUGUACUUGUCUGAUUCUUAAAUAUUCCAGUUUUUGAACUUUGCUGCAGUAGUUGUAUUCGAAAUGGGUUAAUUGUCUCAUUUUCUUUUUAAUGCCUACUCUUUCAAGGCUCAAAUCUUGAAUAGGUCAAAAAGAGCAAGAGGAAAAUGUCAGAGAAUGGAGAAAGGCAAAUACAGAGAAGCAGUGUGAACAUCCACCCGGCGAGGUGACCUGAUGGUGCUGCUCCAUGUCAGAGACAGUAGUGUCUGGGAAGAGGGAGCCCUUUCCACAGGGUGGAGCAAAAGGCCUGGAGCUGACACCUGGCUCCUGGGCCCACUCGCCCACCACCUCGAGCAACUCCCUUCCUUAACGUCUGCCCGAGUGUUAAGGGCUGAGCACAUGACCUCACAGGAGGAUGUGAGGGGCAGCGGUAACAUGUGUCUAGCACUUUGUCCCUUAUAAGUCACUCACAAAUACUUAUAUCCUUAUUAUCUUCAUCCUUUUCUCUUGAGUUUUUCUCUAAUUCUUUAAGAAGGAAACACGUAGCCAGGAAGUGGAGAGCCUCUCACAUACUUGGGGAGUUUUCAUAUUUCCCCCAUCAGUUCCUUUUCUGGCCUGAGCUCAUGCUCCCUAAGAUCAGGGCUUGGGCUUUGUUUUAGUCUGUGUUGUUAUAAAAGAAUAUCCAACAGUGUGUAAUUUAUAAAGAAAAGAGGUUGACUUGGCUCAUGGUUCUGCAGGCUGUACAGGAACAAGCUUGGCUCCAGCAUCUGCUUGGCUUCUAGGGAGGCCUCAGGAAGCCUUUACUCAUGGGGGAAGGCAAAGGGGAGCAGGCAUUAUGUGAGAGGAAGGAAGAGAGAGGCAGGGGAGGUGCCAGGCCCUUUUAAACAAUCAGCGCCCAUGGGAAAUAACAGAGCCAGAACUCACUCAUUAACUUCAGAAUGGCACCAAGCCAGUCAUAAGGAUCCACCUCCAUGACCCAGACACCUGCCACCAGGCCACGCCCAGUAUCAGGGAUCACAUUUUAACGUGAGACUCGGAGGGGACAAACAUCCAAAUCACAUCUGGCCCCAUAACCUUUGGAGACCUCAGCUCUGGCGCUAGGGUGGUAGGUCCCCUAAGGGUUCGUGCUCUCUGAAGGAAUUGGGUUACAUUACCUGGGAGAGCUUUCUGGAGGAAGUGAGCUUUGCUUCUCACAGGUUUCUAUAAGGAGAAGGAUGGGCUGUUGGAAAGGGAGUGAGUGUGUGUCCAAGUGAGGGAAAGUGAGGUUCAGCAUCUUGGUGCUCUUGGCUCAGCUUCCCUUUCUAUGCCAUGCACAGUGCCUCCAGGAUGCCAGGGGGUGCCAUCCCUGACCUGUUCUGGGGUGGGUGUGCAAGAUGCGAAAUGGCUAAUUUCAGUUCACUGGUAACUCUAACAUUUGGAUAAUAAUUGGCCAUAGCAUUAGCUUUGGUUAUACAUCUCCAAAUGUGUUAUUACAUUAUAUAUAUAUAUAUAUAUAUAUAUAUAUAUAUAUAUAUAUGCACACACACACGUAUACAUAUAUACACACAUCUACACUGUAUUGAUAUGUUGAUAUAUUGAUGUUAUGAAUUAUUUUAAAGAGUAUUCUAUUGAUGUAGAGGAUAAUAUGAAAUUCAAUAUUUUCUGGCACUCUUUUUAAAUGAUACUUAGGCCAUCUGAUGAAAACAGAGCUCAGUAAAGAUUUCUUAUUGAUAAAUCAACAUUACAAAUGAAGACUAGUUUCAUUGCCAUGAUCAGUAAAUUAAGGGUCAUAAAUUAACUGUUGAGUUAUUUUCUUUGCACUAUUAAGCCUUCCACUCAAUCUUUCUACAGUCUUUCUUAUUUAGCAAACGGUGUUACUUGAUAGAAACCUCUGCUGUGAUUUUGUUUUUUGAAAUUUAAUAAGAAAGCUAUAUAAUACAAUUCUCGGGGGAAAACAAGCAAGGUAGGUUUUUCACGGUAACCUCCAAGCAGAGAAAUGGUUUCAGUGCGCAGUCCAGUGAAUUUCCUCCAUAGAGUGUGCUGGAAGAAGUCACCUGGAAGUGAUCACCAGAGUGAUAUUCAGUUUGACUCUCAUUGGUUUGUAUAUAAUUGAUUAUAUAUAAAAACAAAUGCCAGGGUGAGGGUGGGACUAGAGUCCCCCUUUCAGGCUCCUCCCCUUGCAUUUCCAUCUGGUCUUGCAGCAAGUUAACCACGGUCCUAUCUUCAGGUUCAAUUACUCCCUUUAAAAAAUAGGUUUUAACACCUAUGUAUCUCUCAACAUUAUAUUGUUUUAUUUUGAAAAAUUGAAUAAUAACCACACACCUAGCUUUGGAAGCAAGAGGCUUCAUGGCCAGGAUCAGAUAAAUGAUCCUCUUAGAGUGGGUGGGACCUCAGCAUCCCAGAGCGUGUGGAAGAGUGCCUGCCAGGAAGCCACCAGACAAGGUCCUAAGUACAUGCAUGGAAACACUGGGCACGAUGCUGACUGUGGCAUGGGCCAAAAAGUGACAUGGGGCAGAACUUCAGUGGGAGGAGGGGUGCUCUGUACGUUCAGCUUCUAAGCCCACUGUGGCCUUCCUCUUAGGGUUUCACAGAGCCAAGCAGAAAAGGAGCACAGGUGACCUUGGCAGGAAGGCAUGCAUGGGAGAGCAGGUCUGCACUCUGGGACACCAGCCUCAACAGAAUACGAGUUUUGAAUUUUUGAAUUGCUGUUAAAACUUUCAUCAUGAACACUGAAGUGAGUGAAAAGAGACUUUUGCAGUCAUUUUUUUGCUGGCUGCAGAUGACAGUGACACCCUGGGAGUUGAGAAAUGCUUGUAAGAUGGAAGGAGGCUGUGUCCCUGAAUGAUCACCUGGAAGAGAGCCACCUUAGCCAAUGAAACUCCUGCUAUGAAUGUUUGCUGAGCAAGAAAUAUACUUACUGCUUUAUAUGCCUUUGAAGCUAUAGGUUCAUAUUGUUACCACAAUUUAAAGUGCUAUAAUAAAAAGAGUUCAGGAAGCAGGCACAUGGAAGCAAUAAGAGCAACAAACAUUUACACAGGUCCCUGGACCAUGAAGGGCCACAUCCAAGGAGCUACCCCAGGAGGCCUCUCAUUUGCAUUUGUCCCCGCUAAUGCAGGACAGAGAUCAUGGAAGUUGGGCCCGACUGGAUGAGAUUUGGGGGUCUUUGGAAGUGGAGAAUGUGUUUGCCCUGGGGAAGAGAGGUGAUGUCUAGGAGACCUCUUCACUCAGGGCAAGCUCUAUGACCUGCUUUGACUCCAGAAUGUGGUAGAAGUGGCAUCACAUAAAUUGCAGAGCCUAGGCUUCAAGAGACCUUGCAACUUGCCUCUCACUGACUUGAAGUGCUCCCAUCAGAGCAUCUUGUAAGGAGCAGGUGGAGCAUGUGGACAAGCCAUCCCCACCAGCCCCUGAGACAUGUGAGAGAGGCCAGAACAGGCCAUCCGGACCCCACUGUGCUGGUGGAUGAGACAGCAGAAGGAAUAUCAACCUACCAACAGAAUCCUGAGAAAUGCUCACUCUUACUUCAAGCUGCUGCAUUUUGAUGUUAUGAAACCAUAAAUAACUUAUGAAGUCAUCUUUGCUGACUUAAAGUUUUCCAUAACUUUAUUAUAACAUAUCAAAAUUAUGAAAAAUGUGAAAAGUAGAAAACUGAUGAAUUUUGCUUCUUCAUAUGGUCUUUAAGAAUCUCAAAGGCACUGAAGUUUUUUAUCUUUUCUGUCUUAGAAUAAAAAACCUUGAAUGAAAAUCUGCUUCUUGGAAAAGCAGCAAGGUUUAUGCAGAGGCAAUCUGGUAUUUGUGUGCACUGGCAGCUGAUCAUACCCAGCAUGCACGCACUCUCAGGGCAGAGUCUGAUGCCCCACAUAAUGGGGCAUGGUAAGGACUCCCAUGUCCUUGAGAUAAAAUGAUAAGGAAAAUACACACUGCUAUUAGAAUAACAGGCCCAGCUUCUGCACAUUUUAAUUCCCAAAGUUUUCAUGAAAGACAAUGAUUUUUUGGUACCAUGUUUAACUCUACAAGAAUCAGUAGUGAAAACUAAAAAUGAUACUUUGUGAAAGUUCAUUAAUUUUGUUUUCAGCCAGUGGUGGCCUUGGUCAGAUAGAAUCAAAUCUAUGAUACUUUUUAUCAGAAAUGCUUAUACUGUGUACAAACCCAAAGUGAUGGCUUUCAAAGAUUGAAUUUGAUUAUUUUCUGUAUGGUGCAGAUGAAAAAUUACUACACAGGAGAAGGUGGGUUGGAGGUGCUCACGAGUAACCAGGAAACAGUCUGAAGUUUUUCUGAUACUUCUCCUUGGUCCAACCAAAUGUGAGAUAUAAACACAAACUUGGGAUUCCGUUCUUAUGUUUUGGUUGUUUCAGUCUUUACAGAUGUAUCGAAAGGCUGUCCAAAAAUGUCUGACUUCUGUAGUGUGCCUUCGUAGCACUAGAGGGUUCUGCAGCUGUGAAACUGAAGGCAUUGGCAAGAAGCCCUCCAUCUUCAAACCACUUUCUGCUAAGGUGUGGCUCUAUAAAACCACUAUGAGCUGGGCUUCACUGAGACUGAGUUGUUUCAGUAGGAUCUUCCGGAAAAACAUGUUCCCUCCUUUACCUGGGUUGUCAUUCUGAGAACAAUCACACCUCCAAUUUUGGCUUACUAAGCAAUAGCGUUUUAAUGAUUUUAAGCCAGGAUUUGCUCCUCCUUUCCUCAGUAUGAGAGCUUAACCACUGGAGGAACCAAGAAUUCAUGCUGGUUGGGUUCUGAUUCCACUUUAACUUACUGUAUAGCCUCAUCCCUUGUUUUUCUGGAGAUUCUCUUUUUCUGCUUCACUGAUUUAUAUUUACAUUAAAAUCAAAUGAGGCCAUGUUUCUGAAAUCACAUUGUCCCUACAUGGUCAUUACAAUGAGUCUGUAAUGUGACUGAAAGACAGCCAUGGAUACAGGUAGAGGAUAUCAGGCAAUUGAAUGCUCAUCAAGCAUUCAAUUCAGGGCAAAUGGCAUAAGGUAUGCAGUUGGCCUCUUCUGAUAUCUGUGUCUUAAUCCUUUCUUUAGCCUCUGUUUUCUGGACCAAGGCUAAGAUAUUUUCUGGGCACAGUGGCUCAUGCCUAUAAUCCCAGCACUCUGGGAGGCCAAGGUGGGAGGAUUUCUUCAGCCCAGGAGUUCGAGACCAGCCUGGGGAACAUAGGAGACCUCAUUCCUACAAAUAAUAAAAAAAAUUAGCCAGCUCUGGUGGCGUGUGCUUAUUGGUCUCAGCUACUUGGGAGGCUGAGGUGGGAGGACUGCUUGAGCCCAGAAGAUCGCAGCUGCAUUGAGCCAUGAUUGUGCCACUGAACCCUAGCCUGAGCAACAGAGCAAGGCCUUAUCUCAAAAAAAAAAAAAAAUUCUGAGCCUUCUAAUUUUUUUUUUCUUUAAUUAACUUUCUGUAAGCCCAGCAAGUAAAUAAAACACUUAUUUUAUGAAGCAUCUAGUUGCUUUUAGGGGAAGGGACAUCCUCCGCAUAGUAUCUAGGCCAGCUCACUUUCUUCUCCUUACUGUUGAUUUACUCUCUGCCAUUGAAUCUUCUGUGCCAAUGUUGGAUUAAUGUUUCCGGGCCCUACUUUCAUCAUGCUCCUCUGUAUUAUCACCUGUUUUGGUUUACAGCAAUGAUUUUUAAGGUAAGGCAUGGUGUGUCCAUCAUAGUCACAUGGGAACUUUUUCAAGCCAUAUUAAAAAUGUCCCCCAUUCAUCAUUCUGCCCCUGGAACAGUGUGUGCAGUUGGGACCUUCAAGUAAAUCUACUUUGUUGAAACCCACUGAUCAGCAUGGUGUAUUUCAUAACUCUUUGACUUACAUUCAAGAAAUUCCUUAACCUGAACUCCAUUUUACUCUUUUUUUCAUUCAUUCAAAUUAAGAAUAUUGCCUGAACAUGAAUUAUCUGCUAGACGUUUUUCUAGGUGCAGGAGGAGUAAGGAUGAACAUAACUAGCCAUAACUAUAGCUAUCAAUUGUGGAGUGUCUGUUAUGUGCCAGGCACUUUUAAGUGACCUACUCGAUUUACUUGCAUGACAAACUGUGAGGAAAAGCCCAAUAUUAUCCCCUAUUAACAGAUGAGGAAACUGAAGCACAAACAGCAUGAAUAGUUUGUUCCAGAUUGCAUCAUAAGAGGCACAGCCAGCUUUCCUACCAAAGCAGCCCUGGCCCAGAGUCCGUACUCCCUCCUCCCCUGCCUCUGCCUGGUGGAUAAGGUCACCCUGGCCUUGUGGAACUUAUGCUCUAGUGGGGACAAAUAGUUAUAGAGAAUGACCGAUGUUACUAAGAAAAUAAAAGCUGGUAAGAAAACAGAAGCACUGAGGAGGUGACUGAAGUGAGCAUUUAUAAUUUUAUGUUAUAUCCAUUGUAAAAUAUAAGUUUAGCUUUCUCAUACCAGAAGCAGGGCUCAGUCCACCCUUGACUCAGUUUCCAAUACUGUUCCCCAUCAGAAUGGCUCUUGCUGGUGGCCAGAAGUAAAACUUAGAAAUAUCUCUCUCAGAGACACCUAAGCAGGCUGGGCUCCCCGGUUUCCUGUUGCUUCCUUUAAAGAAGCUCUUCAGACAUCUGCACAAGAACUCAAAGUGACCACCUCUCAGCCCAGCAUGACCUACUGGAACUAAUGCCUGCUUGCUUUCAACCUACCAAUUAAAGCUCCCCAGGAAACCUGUUUAGAUAACACCCUGGACCCAAGAAAGGUGCUGGGCCAUGGGUUUCUUCUCUCUCUCCCUAUCUGUGCUCCCUGACCCCCUGUGUGUGUGUGGUCUCUAGGCUUGCCUUCUAUCCCUGAGGGUCUGUAAAUACUAAAAACACUUAAACUUUCAUAUUGUAGUUGUGUCUUUGAAGCCAGGUCCCCAUCCCGUACCUUGAGGGCAAGGCCUCCUGGAAGGGACCCAUGUAGGUGGAUCCCCUGCUGUCCAGGCCUCUUAGCUGCUGGGGUAGUGACCAGUUAAGUGGAUAGAGUUUCAUUCAAAACAAUAAUCAUUCAACUGUAUCUCACAUCAAACCUCUGCUCUAGUUUAUGUAUCUACUUUAUGUUCUUAGAAGACUGUGCAAACACAUUGUCUUUUUUGAGUACCUGUCUUGUCCUAGGUACUCUGCUUGGUACGGGGAGAGACGAAUCUUCUGUCUUCAGGGGCUUCCACUCCAGCAGGGAGAACAUGACUAAUAGUGACUGCCUGCUGCUGUAGGUAAUAAGUGGCUCCCACUAGGCCCUCCAUUUGGUGGCCCCCUGUCCCUCUCACUGGUGGAAGCCUACCUGUCCUCUAAGGACCAGCUCACUAAUGUCCUAGAUCCUCACGGACCAGAUUGCUUUUCUCAGAACUGAAGAGCACUUACUAAUGGCACCUCUUGUCAUAUGCCAUCCCAGGAUUUGAAUUUUUUUUUUUUUUCUGUCUUGUGGCCCAAAUAAAUCCUGAACUCCUCGAGGGCUGGGAGUGUAUCUAGCAGUUUCCUUAUACUGGACUAAUCAGAUGCUGACUAGGUAGCAGUGAGAAAAAUCUAGAAAUUCCCUUUUAGCCACAUCGACUUACACGAGGGGAUGUGUGUAAGGUACUAUAGCUCUUUAAACAAGAGGUGGUCUCGUUUGAAGGGUGGAUUGAUGUGGGUGUUCAAAUGAUGUCACAAGUGGCUGGUUUCUCUGUCUCCAUUUCUUUUUUUUUUGGCUCCAUUUCCAAAUUUCCCAGAUAGCACAGCAAGUUGGCCCCAGCAGCUCUAGACACUCCAUCUUCUCAGGGCAUAGCCAACACAAUAAAAUAUUUCAAGUUCCUGAAAGAUAGCUGAAAUAAGCCCUAGAAGUUUCUGGAUUGGGAGCAGAGCCAAACCUGCCAGCUCACAUAGAUGAGGGCAGGGAAUAGGGUGUCUCACGAUCACAGUGUCCUGCCUUCUGAUUUGCCUGGGACUGUCCUGUUUUGGCACCAAAAAUAUCUGCAUCCUAGGAAACCCUCAGGUCCUGGGCAAAUUCAGACAGUGACUUGCCCUAUCAGAAGCAAAGCAAGGUGCCAUUACCUGAGGUGGGCAAAUUCAGACAGUGACUUGCCCUAUCAGAAGCAAAGCAAGGUUGCCAUUACCUGAGGUGGGCAAAUGGAGGCUGGGUGGCCAGUGAGUGACCAAUAACCCCAGCAUUGGAGAGAGUGGAGCAGCCCUUCAAGAAGUUCCAACCUCUGCCCAGGACUGGUUUUACCAACUUCACUAGGCUUAGAAUCGUAGGAAGUCUAUUUGGGACUUGCGAGUCUCACGUAUUCCUGCCUAAAUGUUUAUGGAUACCUGUUUAGAGCUGAAAUCUUUUCAGCUCCCAUAAUAUGAGGGAAUUAGGUCUCAAAGAAGAUCAUGUAUUUUGAUCAGACCUUAUAGCUGAGCAGUGGAAAGAAAAAAAAUCAGUGUGAGAUCUCCCAGGGUUCCGCAGGAGUGGCUUCCUUAGUCCAACUGGCAGCCUAUCCUGGAAUAUUGCCUGGGAGAGAGGUUAGUUGCUUUUCCUGGUGCUAGGAACUGAAUGGUUUUACAUAUUGAUCAAUGAAAAUACUUAUUUGGCCUACAAUAGGUGCAAAAAUACUGCUAAUUACUAACAGUAUCUCUUCUUUGCUGCGUGCCAGACACUCCACUGGGCAUUAUGCAGUUAAUAUGUACCAUGAAUUUCCCGUGGUUAGCAAUGAUGUCAGGCAUAGAAAAGACAUGAAAUUAUGAUGUCAAAUGAAUAAACUGGAAAAAGGAAUUUCUUGAAUUUUCUCCAGCUGUCCUAAGAAUGUAUCUAUACUUUGAUCCUGGCCUACCUUUUCAACAUCUAAACUUUAUUCCCCCAAGCUUCUAGAUAUUCAAAGUUAAGUAUUAAAUAAAAUCAGUAAAUAUAUACAAGCUUGUUUGGCCAUUCUGAAUAAGGUUAUAUUUCCACCACACAAUCUCCAAAUUCUCUAGCAGAAGGGAUCAGUAUGUUAUAGAUACCCCCUUUCCUUCCCUCCCUGGCAAGCCACCACAUCUGUUAUGGGUACUCAAUGCAGUGGCUGCACCUGGGCCUCACUCAUUAAGCAGUUGUUGAUUGAGUGACUGAAUUGAAUGCCUGAUGAGCUCGCAAGUAAGAUUCAGACUGUGCCUGCAAACUAAUAGGAUCCCUCCGCUUUUUAUUCACUACUGCUGAGGUAGAUCUCAGGCCAGCCUGAAGUUUAGGUCUACUGAGAAAUAAUAAGCCUCAAAAAUCGAGCUUUGCUUCACCCAGUCUCCCAGUAAACACUAAGAAAUGUUCACAUUAUUUACACAUCCUAGACUGCCUGUCUUAUGGACCAAAUGUUUGUGUUCUCCCCGCAAUUUAUACAUUGGAAUCCUAACCCUCAAUGUAAUAGCAUUAGGUGCUGGGGUCUUUGGGAGGUGAUUGGCUAAUGGACCUGGAGCCCUCAUGAUGGGAUGAGUCCCCUUAUCAGAAGAGACCUGAGAAGGCUUGCUUCCUCUCCCUGUGCUCUUCAUGAUGUGAAGACACAAGAAGACAGCCAUCUGUGGGCCAGGAAGAGGUCCUCACUGGAACCCAACCAUGCUGGCACCCCAAUCUUGAAUUUCUAGCUUCAAGAACUUGGGAAAUAAAUGUAAGCCAGCCAGCUUAUGGAUUUGUUACAGCAGCCUAAGCUAAGUCAGAGUCUCUAGAACAGCUGGUCUGGGGCAGCGGUGAAGGGAGGUGGGUGGGCAUAUGACCCUGCCCUGCACAUGAAUGGCAAAGGCAACUGGAGAGCCUCUCCCUUUUGGUGAGAUCCCCAGUCCACAAGGGCAUGUUCAUCCAUAGCUUUACUUCCCGAAGCAAAUUCUGGUUCCUGGGGCCUGUGCCUCCAUAGAUGGCAUGAUCUGCAGCCUCCUGUGGUAAUUUACCCUCUUCCUAAAUUUCUGAGUCUUCACAUUUAAGCAAUCCUAGUUAGAUAUCCUCUACCUGUAUCCAUGGCUGUCUUUCAGUCACAUUACAGACUCAUUGUGAUGACCAUGUAGGGACAAUGUGAUUUCAGAAACAUGGCCUCAUUUGAUUUUAAUGUAAAUAUAAAUCAGUGAAGCAGAAAAAGAGAAUCUCCAGAAAAACAAGGGAUGAGGCUGUACAGCAAGUUAAAGUGGAAUCAGAACCCAACUGUAGUCCAUUAUUUGUUUCAAUCCUGCUCUUUUCUACCAUAUCACCCAGUUUCCAAAUCGUUCAGCAAAUUGCCAUGGUCAAUGGGAUUAACCUUUCCCUUUUAUUCUCAGGAAAUCUCCCUUGUCCAUUUUGCAAGACUGUGUGAUUCUUUCUACUGUUACAAGGAAUAAAAGCCUUCCUAAAAAGGUCUUUGGUGCCUUUAUUAUUUUACGGAUCAUUUCUGAGGGAAUUAUUGAACUUCAUUAUGUAACCACCCCUUGGGUUCACCUUGCCCACUGCCUAGACAGAGCCAAUUUAUCCAGACAGGAGAAUUGCAAUGGAGAAAGAGUAAUUC
RNAcentral lists this long non-coding RNA (17465 nucleotides) under Homo sapiens (human). RNAcentral's name for it is "HSALNT0136844". The record is from RNAcentral. Lineage: Eukaryota; Metazoa; Chordata; Mammalia; Primates; Hominidae.